ACGGGGUUUUACCCACCAACUACCGUCCGUCCGUCCGUCCGUCGGCACCCCACAGGCGUACGUACCUGCGGCAUAUGCAACUAUGCAAAGGAUCGAUUAUGUGCCAAUGUGGCAGUGGCACACUGGGAUCGUGGGAAGCAGCUGUUCUUCGAGUCGGGCCCGGCCUCGCGCGUGGGCGCGGUCGAUCCGGCUUCCCCGUGCCUGCUGCCGCACGGCGACACGCCCCGGCUCCGGCUCCGGCUCCCGCUCGUGCGGUUCUCUUCUCCUCCGACCAGGCUGGCUCUGCCCAGCUGCUGCCCGUACGUAGCGGCAUGCAGCCCACUCGUGGGAUCGCCACACGGUUAACAGGAGGAGUCGAUAAGCUCGCAGUUCAUGACUGGUAUAUAUAGAAGAGAGGAACACUCCAAAAUACCAAGUGCAGUGAGCCAGUGACAUGUCACCUACUCACCCUAGCUCGCUAGUACGGACAUGCGUGCGUAUCCGCUGGGGACAUGAGACACCGUUCUUUUGUUCAGAUCAUGGUCGGGGCUCCCUUCUCCCCCCUGAAUUUGCGCCAGGAAAAGAGAAUUGCCUGAAUGCUAAUAUCCAAGGGUGAGCCCCCUCUGUCCAUUUGACAAGUGGACAAUGUUUGGAGAAGUUUUGAACAAAUGGGAACUUCCUAUACUCUCUCCGGAAGAAACGGGUGGACUACUUUUGGACAAUGGGGGUAAUUUGAUCAUGGACCCCGUAUGAAGAAAAGUGAACAAAUGGGAGGAUUUCCUUGGAGAUGCCAGUGUGAAGAUAAAAGUUGAGAAUUGCCGGCCUAUAUAUUUGGAUGUGCUUUUGCGCUUCACCCCAUUGAUGGUUGCAGAAAAUGUACAACAGCACAAAGCAACGGUGGAUUCCACCUCUCUCUCUGUGAUUACUGAAAGACAGAGAAGAAACCAAACCUCCACAUUUACAGUUAGACAACACACGCCAGCAGCAUAUAUCGCGUUGCGGCCUUGCGGGCAUGCAGUAGACGACGAGGCCACGACGUACGCAAAGCACGCAGGCUCUCGAACUGGUCACUGUGGAGUUCGGUCGGGCGUCCACUUCAGCGUCCUUUCCUCUCAUCGCUCCAGAAUGUCUAAUCAAUUCCUAGGUUGGUCCCACCGUCCAUGUCAUCCACUCAGACGCAGACUGCCCGAUUGAUUAACUAGACCUAAUCAGGCACAAACGCCCGCCUAAAGCUGCAAAAUACCCAUUCAGUUCGGCUAAGCAUACCAGCAUGGAAGCCAUCCUAUAUCCUACCUAAUCAAACGGAUAUGAUAUGCAUGGGAUUUGGGAAUAAGGUUCAGCGUGUUGACUACUUGAUGAAGUUCAACUUCAACGCAAGUAGAGAUACUCCUGCAACGUUGAUCCAUGCAUGAUUAACCGAGAAGGGCUUUGCAAGUUCUGUUGCAGGAGGAAUGAUGCUGAUUAAUUAACCGCAAGGCAUAUGUUUGGAACGCAGGAAAUUUUAAACAAGAUAUAUCUCGGAAAAAUGGUCACACGGAAGUUGGAUGUUGAAUGUCUCGAUCAGUGAACUGAGGUUCCGGAAGAAUGUCGUAUAGUUCCUUCCCUAACAACCGUUGUUGAGUCGGCCGGGAAGCUCGUGGAGAUCCCUUUCGGACUCGCCAUUUUGCAUGCCCCGAAGACGGAAACCGGGCCUGAUCCGAAGAGCGGGAUCACAUGAUCCAAUGCGUGCCGCUCGUUGCACCAUAAAAGCGGCGGGUGUAGUUAU
Brachypodium distachyon (stiff brome) is the source of this 1744-nucleotide long non-coding RNA. RefSeq lists it as uncharacterized. The transcript is spliced from 4 exons. The record is from RefSeq and is a predicted model, not a curated record. Lineage: Eukaryota; Viridiplantae; Streptophyta; Magnoliopsida; Poales; Poaceae.